Long non-coding RNA from Bubalus bubalis (water buffalo), 1948 nucleotides. RefSeq lists it as uncharacterized. NCBI's taxonomy places the organism in Eukaryota, Metazoa, Chordata, Mammalia, Artiodactyla, Bovidae. The transcript has 3 exons. The record is from RefSeq and is a predicted model, not a curated record.
UCUGAGUGAACUCCGGGAGUUGGUGAUGGACAGGGAGGUCUGGUGUGCUGCGAUUCGUGGGGUCGCAAAGGGUUGGACACGACUGAGUGAUUGAACCGAAUUGAACUGAAUGUCUUCAGGGUGUAGCUGUGUUUUAGCAGGAGUGAGGGUUUCAUUCCCUUUAAAAGCUGGGUAGGUCCACCUAUUGAAUGGAUGGACCACGAUUUGUUUAUCCCUUCAUACACAGAUGGACUUUUGGAGACUGUGAUAAGGCGGCUGUGAUCACCUAUUUAACAGCCUUUCAUGUGGACACAUGUUUUCAUUUCUCUUGGGAAUAAACCCGGAAGAGGAAUUGCUAGGUAACAUGAUAACUCUUAGGGCUUCCCUGGUGGCUCAGCUGGUAAAGAAUCGGCCUGCAAUGUGGGAGUUUUGGGUUCAAUCCCUGGGUCAGGAAGAUGGGAAUGGCUACCCACUCCAGUAUUUUUGCCUGGAAAAUUCCAUGGACAGAGGAGCCUGGCGGGCUAUAGUCCAUGGGGUCCAAGAGAGUUGAACACGACUGAGUGACUUAAUACUUUCAUAGCAACUCUUAGUGACUAAACAUGACAACCAUGGUAACUCUAUAUUUAAUUGAUGAACUGCCAGCCCUGAGAAUCCUUUAAUAUCCACGCCUGACCCAGUCACAGCCCUGAUCAAGGCCCUCUGACAGUGUCUGACCUCAUAGCCCAGGCCCUGCUGGCCCACCUCCUGCCCUCCACCCUCCACCCGCUGGCUUCCAUCCUGGACUCGGCCCCCAGGCUCCCGCCCACUGCAGGGGUUUGGCAAGCACCAGGUUCUCCACAUGGAGCUCUCCUGCCUCCCUCCUGCUUUUCUUCGGUCCUCCCAGAAUUCCUCCCAGAAACACAGGCAGGCUCCCAGAAGUCCUUUCCUACUUUGCUUCCAUGGCGUUUAUGCAAUUAGUUAAUUAGAAUCCACGUCUGGAGGUACCAGAAGGGCAAGUACUCUGUGUUUUAAAGUACAUAAUAGAUUGUGGUACUGGAUUACAAAACCUAAUACAAUUUUUUUUUUCAUGGAAAAGAAAAGCACACAAUAGAUGUUUCAAAUCAUUCGGUAGAAGAAGAAAUUCUUUGAGCAAAAGGCCAUCCAGACCUGUUUUAAUUUCUAAAUAGGAUUGGGAUGGGCUGAGCUCCCUUUUGCCUGCAUAACUUUCUACAGCCCUCGGCUCUUUUCUGGUAAGAGUAUUUUGGUUUCCUUUUGGGGUCUCUCUCCCCACUCUUAGUCUAGGGGAGGUUAGAAACCCAGAUUGGCCAGCCAGUCUGUCCUUGGCAGCUGAAGUUGGUUCACGGAGGCAAAUGGCUCAGGUGGGGGCAAUGAGAAGUCACUCAGGUCUGCUCUCGUUUUCUCCAUGGAGACGCUGAGCUGGCACAAUGUGGCCAGGAUUUCAGAAGAGACUGCCCAGGAAUGAAGCCAUGUGGAGGAAAGUCAGACUGAAACAGGAGGAGAGAUGGAUGACGCAUCCGGAUUAAGUCAUGCCUUAUGUCCAGGAAGAAAGGUGGAGAUUGAAUCAUGAAAUGCUGAGCUUGCUUCCCUGCCUGCGUGAAAUCCAUCACUUCCUUACCCGGAAUCAGGUGACCCACAGUUUUAGGAAAUUCACAAAGGGGCCAAAUUGGACGGGAGAAGCAACUGGAUGCAGGACCCGGCUUAUCUUGCAGAAAGAACGAGGGGACAUGCGCCAUAGAGACGUGAGUAGAUCUCAGCUGGACUUGAUUCAAACAAAACCAACUACUUAAUGACAUGCAUGUGGUAACCCAGGAAAUUUGAUGAUGGUAACAUGGGCCAUUUUAUGUACAAUGAAUUAUUAUUGCAGUUAUGUUAGAACUUUUAAAAAGACCGUUUUCAGAGACUUGUUAAGUAUUUAUCUAUAAAUGACAGGACAUCUGGGAUUUGCUUCCAAAUAAUCCAGUGGUGGGAA